Molecule: ribosomal RNA, 253 nt
Filed under: uncultured bacterium
Lineage: Bacteria
Description: partial 16S ribosomal RNA
Rfam family: Bacterial small subunit ribosomal RNA
Source: RNAcentral
UACGUAGGGGGUAAGCGUUGUCCGGAUUCAUUGGGCGUAAAGAGCGUGUAGGCGGCCAGGUAGGUCGGUUGUGAAAACUGGAGGCUCAACCUUCAGAGGUCGACCGAAACCAUCUGGCUAGAGUCCGGGAGAGGAGAGUGGAAUUCCUGGUGUAGCGGUGAAAUGCGCAGAUAUCAGGAAGAACACCCGUGGCGAAAGCGGCUCUCUGGAACGGUACUGACGCUGAGACGCGAAAGCGUGGGGAGCGAACAGG